CAUACAAGGAUAAUUUCUUUUU
This 22-nucleotide microRNA is filed under the name Mus musculus (house mouse). RNAcentral describes it as "mmu-miR-539-3p". Its record names the gene mmu-miR-539-3p. The record is from miRBase by way of RNAcentral. Lineage: Eukaryota; Metazoa; Chordata; Mammalia; Rodentia; Muridae.